GACGGUACCUGAGGAAUAAGCAUCGGCUAACUCCGUGCCAGCAGCCGCGGUAAUACGGAGGAUGCAAGCGUUAUCCGGAAUGAUUGGGCGUAAAGAGUCCGUAGGUGGCAUUGAAAGUCUGCCGUUAAAGAGUCUAGCUCAACUAGAUAAGAGCGGUGGAAACUACAAAGCUAGAGUUCGGUCGGGGCAGAAGGAAUUCCUGGUGUAGCGGUGAAAUGCGUAGAGAUCAGGAAGAACACCGGUGGCGAAAG
Molecule: ribosomal RNA, 251 nt
Filed under: uncultured Anabaena sp.
Lineage: Bacteria; Bacillati; Cyanobacteriota; Cyanophyceae; Nostocales; Nostocaceae
Description: partial 16S ribosomal RNA
Rfam family: Bacterial small subunit ribosomal RNA
Source: RNAcentral